This 492-nucleotide ribosomal RNA is filed under the name uncultured bacterium. RNAcentral's name for it is "partial 16S ribosomal RNA". It matches the Rfam family "Bacterial small subunit ribosomal RNA", at positions 29 to 507 of the family's 1533-position model. The record is from RNAcentral.
AGUGAACGCUGGCGGUAGGCCUAACACAUGCAAGUCGAACGGCAGCACAGUAAGAGCUUGCUCUUACGGGUGGCGAGUGGCGGACGGGUGAGGAAUACAUCGGAAUCUACUUUUUCGUGGGGGAUAACGUAGGGGAACUUACGCUAAUACCGCAUACGACCUACGGGUGAAAGCAGGGGAUCUUCGGACCUUGCGCGAUUGAAUGAGCCGAUGUCGGAUUAGCUAGUUGGCGGGGUAAAAGCCCACCAAGGCGACGAUCCGUAGCUGGUCUGAGAGGAUGAUCAGCCACACUGGAACUGAGACACGGUCCAGACUCCUACGGGAGGCAGCAGUGGGGAAUAUUGGACAAUGGGCGCAAGCCUGAUCCAGCCAUACCGCGUGGGUGAAGAAGGCGUUCGGGUUGUAAAGCCCUUUUGUUGGGAAAGAAAAGCAGCAGGUUAAUACCCCGCUGUUCUGACGGUACCCAAAGAAUAAGCACCGGCUAACUUCGUG